CUCGAACCACUAUGAGAGGUACAGCCUGCCCAGUGACCUAAUGUUAAACGGCCGCGGUAUCCUAACCGUGCGAAGGUAGCGUAAUCACUUGUUCUUUAAAUGAGGACUAGUAUGAAUGGCAUCACGAGGGUUAUUCUGUCUCCUUUUUCCAAUCAGUGAAACUAAUCUCUCCGUGAAGAAGCGAGGAUUAUUUUAUAAGACGAGAAGACCCUAUGGAGCUUUAAACUACCAGCAUUUGCUAUAUAACAUAAUUUUUCAGAAACCUAAAAAACAACUUAGCUCUUUGACUGUAAGUUUUCGAUUGGGGUGAUCACGGAACAAAAUAUAACCUCCGUGUCGAAAGGACUUUUCCUGAGCCAAAAGUGACAACCUUAAGCACUAAAAAAUUAACGCUUAUUGACCCAAUAAUUUGAUCAACGAAC
Molecule: ribosomal RNA, 422 nt
Filed under: Boana cinerascens group sp. ABGD cluster 23
Lineage: Eukaryota; Metazoa; Chordata; Amphibia; Anura; Hylidae
Description: partial large subunit ribosomal RNA
Rfam family: Bacterial large subunit ribosomal RNA
Source: RNAcentral